Molecule: long non-coding RNA, 1595 nt
Filed under: Calidris pugnax (ruff)
Lineage: Eukaryota; Metazoa; Chordata; Aves; Charadriiformes; Scolopacidae
Description: lncRNA (ENSCPUG00000017257.1)
Source: RNAcentral
ACACCCGUGCACUGAAGAAACACCGGUGAAGGCGUGAUCCAUCCCAGCGGCACAGGCAAAUAUGAAGUUCUUCUGGCUAAUCCCAUUUUUCCUGCUGCAAGACGCUGCAGCUUUUCUGAUGAAAAAUGCUAAAUUCAAGCUGUGUUUACGAGCCAGCGUGGUAGGUGAGAGUUUGCUGCUGGAGGACUGUGAUCCAGAGUCAGUUUUCCAGGACUGGUCUUGGCAAGGAGAUUCUCUGCUGAAUCGUGGCACUCAGAGCUGCCUCUCCCUGGUGGGGUCCAACGGGGUGCAGAUGGGUCUCUGCGACAGAACGAGCUACAUGAGCUGGGACUGCUCGAAUUCGCUGCUCUCUCCUCUGGGUGGCAGCCAGAGCUACCUGGUGGCCAACAAGAAAGAUAAAUAAAUUCUAUGGAUGUGCUGAGAAGUGCGGGUUAGGGAAAGUUCAGCUACAAGCCCAGGAGCCCAGAGAGAAGCUGGACUGGAGGCAGUUUGCCUCUUGAAUGCCUUUUGCCCUACGCUGCUCUCCCAGUUCCAGGCCUGGGUGUCAUUCCUGUCUGCCCUAUACACUCUGUGUGUGUGUGUGUCCUGUGCUUGGGGGGUGGCCACGCUCAUACGGUGCUUUCUUUGCAGACGCUGCAGCUUUUCUGAUGAAAAAUGCUAAAUUCAAGCUGUGUUUACGAGCCAGCGUGGUAGGUGAGAGUUUGCUGCUGGAGGACUGUGAUCCAGAGUCAGUUUUCCAGGACUGGUCUUGGCAAGGAGAUUCUCUGCUGAAUCGUGGCACUCAGAGCUGCCUCUCCCUGGUGGGGUCCAACGGGGUGCAGAUGGGUCUCUGCGACAGAACGAGCUACAUGAGCUGGGACUGCUCGAAUUCGCUGCUCUCUCCUCUGGGUGGCAGCCAGAGCUACCUGGUGGCCAACAAGAAAGGAGUCACCCUCAGUAACGUGAGGAACCUCAAGGCCCAAUGGCAAGAUGCGGCAGACAGGAGCGUCUGCGAGGUGAAAGCAGCUGAGGCAGAGCCAGACAGGUACUUCACCGCAGCGCUUGUCAGCACACACACCUAUGACCCCAUAGCAGGGAACAUCACCCUUGCGCUGGGUAUGGAUGGAGCAGAGCUGGAGGAGCUGCUCUGGUUCUUCCGCAGAGAAGACCCCUCGACGUGGAAUUACUCCGUCCUUGCGCUUUCCUUCGUGGCCAUGAUUUUGGGUCUCGUCCUCCUGGCCCUUAACAUUGUGCGAAACAGGAAAAGGAAGAUCCACGCCUACGGAGGAGCAGAGCAAAUGGUCCAGCAGGAUGAGCUGGAAGCCAAGCAAGCCCUGAUGCCCGUGCAGGAGUACAGCCCAGCCCAACUGCAAAAGCAGGAGCCGGUGCCCCAGGAUCAUAGAUCAGGAGACGUGAUGGUCCAGUGGAAGGACGGGACCGUCACCUCCCUGUACACAGCGAGGUCUGAGGACGCCGUGUAACGGCAGCUGACGUCAAACCAUUUAGGCCUUAAGGAAUGUGUCAGAACGUCUCAAUUCGGAGUGAUGGAAGUUUAAAAAUGCAGUUUAGCCUGGGGAAAAAAAGAGAGAGAAUAAAAAGAAAGCAGCAGAGCUGCA